This is a long non-coding RNA of Megalobrama amblycephala (Wuchang bream), 1984 nucleotides long. RefSeq lists it as uncharacterized. Lineage: Eukaryota; Metazoa; Chordata; Actinopteri; Cypriniformes; Xenocyprididae. The record is from RefSeq and is a predicted model, not a curated record. The transcript has 2 exons.
CAUAAAUAUUCACACAUGCAUAAAAAUACAUACAGCAAGUGACUCAGACAUUGUUGAAUGCAUGUAUGCCAGUGGUUUGAAAAGCUGUUUUAAUUCCAUUUGGGCAGAGACUUGCAGUAAAUUAGAUUAAUGUUAAAGUGUCAUGUUUCCAGGAUUAGAAAAUGAAUUCAAACGAGUCUCUAGGUGUGUGUUGGUGCUCAGCAGGUGGGACGUAUUGAGCUACCUCUCUCUUGACGCCACCGUUGAUUCGACUCUCUCUGCCAUGUCUUUGAAAUUUCAAUAAUCCCGUUUCAACAACCUAACAAACAAGCACAGCGCAGGUUAAUAAAAUAACUUUUAAUUGUAGCUCCUGUUUGACUACUAGGCAAAUGUGACUGUUAUAGUACACUAUAACUCUCUCCCCAUUUUUAUCAAGCAGAAUGCCACAGAAGAGGCAGUGAACGAGUGUGAGAAGGACAAGUAGUUAUUCAAAAAGUGAUUUUCCACUUGAACAUACAGGAGAAGCCUCCUGAGGCCUAAGCAACUGUGGAAAGGGGGCGUUUAGGCCCAAUGAACGGGUGAGGAGGCACUACCAUGAGGUGUGGCGUACGGUCGCUGUGUUUGUCAGGGCUGAUGGAUGGCUCUAGGCUGUUUCGGGAUCAUAGAUGAUUGGAAGAUUGAGUUCAGGUAGGACGUAAUCAGGUGUUAAAUGAGACAAAGAGACGUUUUAUUGACACAAUAGGCAACAAAGGAGUGUAUAUCUUGUGCAAACAAAAAUGGAGUGUAAGUGUGUGAUAUGCAUGUAUGAUCCGAGAGCAGUUUUUUUUUAUGUGCGAUGUUUCCCAAACAUCUCCACUGUGCUUAUUGACUUUGCACAUAAACCUUUUUAAUGAUGAUGCUGUUUAAAUUGCGCCAUUGAUUUUAAUGCACCAAUUACGUCUAUAGUGUAUGAGAGUCGAUAUGUAGGACAGCAGUACAAAUAGCUGAAUAUGAGAGGGCUUUAGUCCAGCAAUUUUCUAUGAGUCUUAAGUGCCCACGAUCUGUAAAACACCUCACUUUCCUGAAAAAUGUGCAAUCAAUACUGUGGAGAAAACCUUUUUAAGGCUUGCAGUUACAUGCAUUUUCUGCUGAAUGAAAAAAUAAUCACGUUUUUUGCGCCUUGUGGCUACAGGAAAAACAAGACGCCUUUAGCAUCAUUACAAAUGCGGCCGGAAAAGGCCGUGAAUUUGUGUGCCCAUCGAUCUCCACGCCUGCUUAUUUUGGCACGAUUGUAACCAUCUUUCUUUUAGAGGUGCAAAUGUGUAGUGUGAUAGGAGGGGACGGCGGGAGGCGGCGGUUUGAGAAACGCCGUUAUUUGACAGUGUUUAAUUGGAGAGUACAUUUGAGAGGCAGCCGUCCCCGCCGCUGGCUUUGCUUCUAAUUGCCAGCAGCGCCGCGCUUAACGAAGCGAGCGAGAACGAGCGUGGGUGAGGGAGAGCGUGAGGAACAGAAAGAGAGAGGGGCCAGGUUUCCACGGCAACGGCAGAUCAACAGUAGGCUGUAGCCGAGGGGGUAGUUUCAUCUUGAAGAAAGACCCUCUCUACUUAGGCUCCCUCUGCAACAAGAAACAAAUGCCCCAGCCGCACGUAAACAAAACACCAGCGAAAGAGCUCCUUUUAAAGCUCAGCCCGCAGAGUGCGAGGUGAAGCGAAAACCUAUCCAUUAGAAGGAGAUUAAUGAAAAAAACUCAGUGGGUCCUCCCAUCGCAGCCUCGGUUAAAUAAGCCGCUACGAGCAUCCCUGUCUGCGAAAUGUGCUUCUAUGUGGUCCAGAACCACUAUCAUCCAGAUCUCAAUUAUUAUUCAUGCAGCUUCACUCAUUUCAUCUGCCAUCCGCGGGAACGCGUACGCUGUAGGUGAUGUCAACAAGAAGAUGAAGAACACCAGCAGAAAGGAAGGCUAUCUGAUUCAUUAAUCCUGACUGUUGAGUAUCAGGCGAAGAGACCCAGAACGUGAGAGAGAGAGAGA